UAGUCUGGUGCCAGCAGCCGCGGUAAUUCCAGCUCCAAUAGCGUAUAUUAAAGUUGUUGCAGUUAGAACGCUCGUAGUCGGAUUUCGGGGCGGGCCGACCGGUCUGCCGAUGGGUACGCACUGGUCGGCGCGUCCUUCCUUCCGGAGACCGUGCCUACUCUUAACUGAGCGGGGGCGGGAGACGGAACGUUUACUUUGAAAAAAUCAGAGUGUUUCAAGCAGGCAGCUCGCUCUUGCAUGGAUUAGCAUGGGAUAAUGAAAUAGGACUUUGGUGCUAUUUUGUUGGUUUCGAACACCGAAGUAAUGAUGAGAAGGGACAGUCAGGGGCACUCGUAUUCCGCCGAGAGAGGUGAAAUUCUCAGACCAGCGGAAGACGAACCACUGCGAAAGCAUUUGCCAGGGAUGUUUUCACUGAUCAAGAACGAAAGUUAGGGGAUCGAAGACGAUCAGAUACCGUCGUAGUCUUAACCAUAAACCAUACCGACUAGGGAUUGGAGGAUGUUCACUGAUUGACUCCUUCAGCACCUUACGGGAAACUAAAGUCUUUGGGUUCCGGGGGGAGUAUGGUCGCAAGGCUGAAACUUAAAGGAAUUGACGGAAGGGCACCACCAGGUGUGGAGCCUGCGGCUUAAUUUGACUCAACACGGGGAAACUUACCAGGUCCAGACAUUGUGAGGAUUGACAGAUUGAGAGCUCUUUCUUGAUUUGAUGGGUGGUGGUGCAUGGCCGUUCUU
Molecule: ribosomal RNA, 734 nt
Filed under: uncultured eukaryote
Lineage: Eukaryota
Description: SSU rRNA
Rfam family: Eukaryotic small subunit ribosomal RNA
Source: RNAcentral